Molecule: ribosomal RNA, 293 nt
Filed under: uncultured bacterium
Lineage: Bacteria
Description: partial 16S ribosomal RNA
Rfam family: Archaeal small subunit ribosomal RNA
Source: RNAcentral
GUGCCAGCCGCCGCGGUAAUACCGGCAGCCCGAGUGAUGGCCGAUCUUAUUGGGCCUAAAGCGUCCGUAGCUGGCUGCGCAAGUCCGUCGGGAAAUCCACUCGCUUAACGAGUGGGCGUCCGGCGAAAACUGUGCGGCUUGGGACCGGAAGAUCCAAGGGGUACGUCCGGGGUAGGAGUGAAAUCCCGUAAUCCCGGACGGACCACCGAUGGCGAAAGCACCUUGGAAGGACGGAUCCGACAGUGAGGGACGAAAGCUAGGGUCUCGAACCGGAUUAGAUACCCUUGUAGUCC